CCGCUCCUGCCCUGGUAUAAUGCCCACAGGCUGCUCUCUCUCUCUCUCUGGACUGUUCCUGUCAGCCUCUUGGCAGCAGAGUCUCCGAUACAAAGUAUCUUCUAUCCAGCGCUGGAAGAUCAGUAACCAGGGAGACAGAACUUCCCGCACAGCCUGCGUUCUAAAACUUACUGUGUGCCCUUCUCUCUGCCCUGAGCGCUCCCUCACUGCAAAUCUGGAGCAGAGCUCCCUGGCUGCUGGUUGCUCCCUUGGCAAGUAACAGACUGGACUCCUGACCACUUUAAAAGUGCUGCUUGUGUCAGCACUGUGACAGCUUUCUGUAGCUUGACAGAUCUCUGCCACCCAGCUAUACAGAGGGGUAUUAUCUGCACCCACUGCCCCCCUCCUCUACCGCUACGGACCUACUACUAACCCCGGCAGGAGAUGCAAAGCACAGGCUGCUGUUAACUUCAACGAGGCCCCAAAUCCCGGGAACCAGGCGGGUCCUACCGGGUGGCGUCCCCUCCACCCCCCCUUUCACCCCGGAUUGUCGCCAAGUAACUCCCCGGGGCGGGGGCAGUCAAUCCGAGGCGGAGGAUCAGAGUUGUAAAUGAGAGCAGAACAUCAUAGAUGACAAGAAGUAUAGAGGCAGCAUAGGAUAAUGGGGUGUAAAGUGUGAGGUAGUGGGG
This is a non-coding RNA of Pelobates cultripes (western spadefoot toad), 668 nucleotides long. The record is from the annotation of a GenBank genome assembly. Lineage: Eukaryota; Metazoa; Chordata; Amphibia; Anura; Pelobatidae.